Molecule: ribosomal RNA, 277 nt
Filed under: uncultured bacterium
Lineage: Bacteria
Description: partial 16S ribosomal RNA
Rfam family: Bacterial small subunit ribosomal RNA
Source: RNAcentral
AACGAACGCUGGCGGCAGGCCUAACACAUGCAAGUCGAGCGCGCCUUCGGGGCGAGCGGCGGACGGGUUAGUAACGCGUGGGAAUGUACCCUUUUCUACGGAAUAGCCUCGGGAAACUGAGAUUAAUACCGUAUACGCCCUUCGGGGGAAAGAUUUAUCGGAGAAGGAUCAGCCCGCGUUAGAUUAGAUAGUUGGUGGGGUAAUGGCCUACCAAGUCUACGAUCUAUAGCUGGUUUGAGAGGAUGAUCAGCCACACUGGAACUGAGACACGGUCCAG